Molecule: ribosomal RNA, 497 nt
Filed under: uncultured bacterium
Lineage: Bacteria
Description: partial 16S ribosomal RNA
Rfam family: Bacterial small subunit ribosomal RNA
Source: RNAcentral
GACGAACGCUGGCGGCGUGCCUAAUACAUGCAAGUCGAACGCGGAAGUGAGGAGCUUGCUCUUCUUGGUUGAGUUGCGAACGGGUGAGUAACGCGUAGGUAACCUGCCUGGUAGCGGGGGGUAACUAUUGGAAACGAUAGCUAAUACCGCAUAAAAUUGAUUAUUUCAUGAUAAUUAAUUGAAAGAUGCAACUGCAUCACUACCAGAUGUACCUGCGUUGUAUUACCUAGUUGGUGAGAGAACGGCUCACCAAGGCCAGGAUACAUAGCAGACCUGCGAGGGUACGAGGCCAAACUGGGAGUGGGAGACGGCCCACACCCCUACGGGAGGGAGCAGGAGGGAAUCCUCGGCGAUGGGGGGAAUCCUGAACGAGCAACGCCGCGCGAGUGAAGAAGGGUGUCGGGUCGUAAGGCUCAGUUGUAAGAGAAGGAUGGGUGGGAGAGUGGAACGUUAACACUGUGACGGUACCUUACCAGAAAGAGCCGGCUAACUCCGUG